Non-coding RNA from Danio rerio (zebrafish), 94 nucleotides. The record is from Rfam. NCBI's taxonomy places the organism in Eukaryota, Metazoa, Chordata, Actinopteri, Cypriniformes, Danionidae.
GCUCCAGUGGCGCAAUCGGUCAGCGCGCGGUACUUAUAAGACAGUAUGAUGCUUAGCAAUGCCGAGGUUGUGAGUUCGAGCCUCACCUGGAGCA